This 253-nucleotide ribosomal RNA is filed under the name uncultured bacterium. RNAcentral describes it as "partial 16S ribosomal RNA". It matches the Rfam family "Bacterial small subunit ribosomal RNA", at positions 524 to 776 of the family's 1533-position model. The record is from RNAcentral.
UACGAAGGGGGCGAGCGUUGUUCGGAUUCACUGGGCGUAAAGGGUGCGUAGGCGGUCGGGUAAGUCUGAUGUGAAAUCUCACAGCUUAACUGUGAAACUGCAUUGGAUACUAUCCGGCUCGAGGAAUGGAGGGGAGACUGGAAUACUUGGUGUAGCAGUGAAAUGCGUAGAUAUCAAGUGGAACACCAGUGGCGAAGGCGAGUCUCUGGACAUUUCCUGACGCUGAGGCACGAAAGCCAGGGGAGCAAACGGG